This 84-nucleotide transfer RNA is filed under the name Prevotellaceae bacterium. RNAcentral's name for it is "tRNA-Leu". It matches the Rfam family "tRNA". Rfam says of the family: Transfer RNA (tRNA) molecules are approximately 80 nucleotides in length. Their secondary structure includes four short double-helical elements and three loops (D, anti-codon, and T loops). The record is from RNAcentral. Lineage: Bacteria; Pseudomonadati; Bacteroidota; Bacteroidia; Bacteroidales; Prevotellaceae.
GCCCGGAUGGUGAAAUUUGGUAGACACACUACUUUGAGGGGGUAGCGCCGGUUCGGUGUGCAAGUUCGAGUCUUGUUCCGGGCA